UUUAUCACCCUGAACACGCUUGAUCUCAUCUGAUCCUAGAAGCUAAGCAGUGUCAGGCCUGGUCAGUACUUGGAUGAAGAAGGCUUGAAGGAAGUAAGAAAGCGAUCCCUGGGUGAUCAGGUGAAG
This is a ribosomal RNA of Colobus angolensis palliatus, 126 nucleotides long. NCBI's taxonomy places the organism in Eukaryota, Metazoa, Chordata, Mammalia, Primates, Cercopithecidae. The record is from Ensembl.